UGGGCUCAAGUUGUUUUCAUUAAUAUUUUGUGCUUGUAAAUCAAAUGCGUAGUUGUGAACUGAGUUUUGUAACCUUGUAAACCAAAAUAUCUGAAAAUUUUAUGGUUGUGCAUCUAUAUAUGAGAAUUUGUGUGUUUGUAAAAAAGAUUUGUUUGAUUAAAAAAAAAAAUUGUACAGAGGUUACACUUGUUGUUAAGGUCUACUUACAGAUACAAUGCAAAAAAUGAAGUGUAAAACUUUGUGCUCAACUUCCCUGGCUGUGUGUGAGUUUCAACUUACAAGUAUGAAUUUUGACCCAAUUUUUCUUCCAUUCAGCUGAUUGGUCAAUGUCAUGUCAAUCACAAAUUUAACAAUCCAAUCAGAGAACAGAUGGGUUUGGCUGUCGGUGGGGUGCUUUACUGAGCUUCAAGUCCUGGAAGGAUGAUGGUCCUUUCGCGUGCGAGCCCAGCGUUUUCCUUCAUCACCAUGAAGGAAAACAUUCUGUGCGUGUCAGAGUUUGGUGAAAUUCUCAUCUAUAGGUGCACAAACAUAAAAUGUUCAGAUAUUUUGGUUUACAAGGUUACAAAACUCAGUUCAGAACUACGCAAAAUAUAUAUGACCACAAUUUGAGUUUUCAUUGAAAAUAAACAUUUAGUUUAUAUUUGGGAGAGUUGUUGACAAUAAGAGAAAAACAGAUGAUCACCAGAUGCCAUCAGAAGACUUUUCUACAGGAAGUUUAACAAAGUAAAUGUGAUUCCGUUCAUUAGAGGUCCCUCAAAGUUAAAAGUCCCGUUAAUGUUAUUUUUAUAAGAAAAUGUGAGCUUAAAAUCAGUGAGUUUGUUGUUACCUGUUUCAGAUCUGAACCUUUAUUUAUCUUCAGUAUUUCAGAGUAAUUUGUUUAUGAAGGUAAAAAUAAUUUUGCUGGAUGAGUUCUUUGCUGUUUACGUACUAGUCACAAGAACAAAAACUGUUUUUAUGUUUACUGGAGAUGUUUGAUAAGUUUUGACAGCUCUAAUUGAAGCUGGCUGUAUGAAGGUUAGUUUUAUAUUUGAUCAUUUUACAGUAAAUGUUGUUUUGGUGGGUUGUUAUUUUUACUAUCUUGGACCUCAAUAAAGUAGGCCUACAGAUGGGCCUGCACCUCUCUGGCAAUCAGCAGUAAGAAGUGCAACCCGACUGUUUGCUGGAGGUUUCUGGCUGUUGAUGGGUGAAAUUGUUUGUAAAGAGAGCGCUGCACCGAAAACCUCCUUGUGAGAUUUCUUUUGGUGACACUCAGGUUGCCACAGCCUCACGCAAUUAAUAUGGGAGACACUGGUUGUAAACUACUUGCAGAGUUGUUUUAAAACUGUGAAAAGUUUGCCUCUAAAGAAAAAGUUACCUGCUCCCUUAAGGUGUAACUUUUAUUUUGAAGAUGAACGGUCUGUCUCACUACAGCUUAGGACUCAGCAAGUGUUUGCAGACCAGUCUGUAUCUUCCAUGCAAGCUGAGGUACACUGCAGCAAUCUGCUAGUGACCAAAGCAAUCACAAGCAGGUUUUUGGUGCCUCACUGUGAAAUCUUUCCAAUGAGUUUCGGGCAGACAACUCCCAGCGUCCUCCACGAACCACUCAGCAAUUGACUGGGGAUUACAUAUGUUGGUUGGCAACCAGUCUGUAUGCCUGUGUGACUGAGGUCUUAGUUAUGGUUGUUUUGAAUGAAUUCAGAGGCCUGCAUCACAAAGUUCAAUGAACAAGAACAAAGUGGCCAAAUGCAAAGAAAGAAUAAGUGAAAACAAUUCAAUAAUGAAAAGACAACAUUGUGUUUCAUUUGUUAUUUAAAGGUUCAUCAACUAUAGUUGACCACCGGUAACCACCUAUGAAUAGCUGAGAUCCCUCUAAAAACACCUAUAACUGCCUAUUUUAAUAGUUCAAACACCAAAAAUAACUUAAACUAUCAUCCUAAUGAAGAUAACCUGAUAAUACUGAACCGUGAAUAGGUGGGGGUCGACUAUACUACUUUGUAAGUAUGGCAGAUUCAUUGACAGUAAGGAGGCAUAUAACUGAUGAUUUAGACCUCUGACCCCACAUUGGAUUGACAGUUCAGUCUCUCAUGGUGUGAUUCACACUUAAGGACUCAAAAGCUGCUUGCUGCUGCAACAUGCUGUGAAAAGUUGUUUGACAUUUUUACUAACUGCAAAGCCAUCCGGUGGGCCAGAUCGGACACUUCUGAAGGCUGGUUCUGGUCCACAGGCAGUGUGUUUUACUCGCUACACAUAUUCUACAGGGAACGUCAAAUUGUUUCCAGAGUCUGUGAACACCCUUGCACCUCUCCCGCAAUCUGUGGGACUUUUAUCAGCACACAGUCAUUUUAAAACUCUUCGGGGUUAGUCAUUGUGAAUGUCGUCCUGCUUGGAUUGUCUUGACUUUUGUUUAAUGUGUAAUGUCUUGUUGGCUAUGUUGAAAUUUGGAUUAAAGUUGUUAUUUUUCCACUUCAUUAUUUUACCGUGUGC
Oreochromis aureus is the source of this 2463-nucleotide long non-coding RNA. NCBI's taxonomy places the organism in Eukaryota, Metazoa, Chordata, Actinopteri, Cichliformes, Cichlidae. The record is from Ensembl.